This 691-nucleotide ribosomal RNA is filed under the name uncultured Staphylococcus sp. Its description in RNAcentral is "bacterial SSU rRNA". It matches the Rfam family "Bacterial small subunit ribosomal RNA", at positions 64 to 737 of the family's 1533-position model. Lineage: Bacteria; Bacillati; Bacillota; Bacilli; Caryophanales; Staphylococcaceae. The record is from RNAcentral.
GAGCGAACGGACGAGAAGCUUGCUUCUCUGAUGUUAGCGGCGGACGGGUGAGUAACACGUGGAUAACCUACCUAUAAGACUGGGAUAACUUCGGGAAACCGGAGCUAAUACCGGAUAAUAUUUUGAACCGCAUGGUUCAAAAGUAAAAGACGGUCUUGCUGUCACUUAUAGAUGGAUCCGCGCUGCAUUAGCUAGUUGGUAAGGUAACGGCUUACCAAGGCAACGAUGCAUAGCCGACCUGAGAGGGUGAUCGGCCACACUGGAACUGAGACACGGUCCAGACUCCUACGGGAGGCAGCAGUAGGGAAUCUUCCGCAAUGGGCGAAAGCCUGACGGAGCAACGCCGCGUGAGUGAUGAAGGUCUUCGGAUCGUAAAACUCUGUUAUUAGGGAAGAACAUAUGUGUAAGUAACUGUGCACAUCUUGACGGUACCUAAUCAGAAAGCCACGGCUAACUACGUGCCAGCAGCCGCGGUAAUACGUAGGUGGCAAGCGUUAUCCGGAAUUAUUGGGCGUAAAGCGCGCGUAGGCGGUUUUUUAAGUCUGAUGUGAAAGCCCACGGCUCAACCGUGGAGGGUCAUUGGAAACUGGAAAACUUGAGUGCAGAAGAGGAAAGUGGAAUUCCAUGUGUAGCGGUGAAAUGCGCAGAGAUAUGGAGGAACACCAGUGGCGAAGGCGACUUUCUGGUCUGU